AGCGGACGCUGGCGGCAGGCCUAACACAUGCCAGUCGAACGAACUCUUCGGAGUUAGUGGCGGACGGGUGAGUAACACGUGGGAACGUGCCUUUUGGUUCGGAAUAACUCAGGGAAACUUGUGCUAAUACCGAAUGUGCCCUUCGGGGGAAAGAUUUAUCGCCAUUAGAGCGGCCCGCGUCUGAUUAGCUAGUUGGUGAGGUAACGGCUCACCAAGGCGACGAUCAGUAGCUGGUCUGAGAGGAUGACCAGCCACACUGGGACUGAGACACGGCCCAGACUCCUACGGGAGGCAGCAGUGGGGAAUCUUGCGCAAUGGGCGAAAGCCUGACGCAGCCAUGCCGCGUGAAUGAUGAAGGUCUUAGGAUUGUAAAAUUCUUUCACCGGGGACGAUAAUGACGGUACCCGGAGAAGAAGCCCCGGCUAACUUCGUG
This 433-nucleotide ribosomal RNA is filed under the name uncultured bacterium. RNAcentral describes it as "partial 16S ribosomal RNA". It matches the Rfam family "Bacterial small subunit ribosomal RNA", at positions 29 to 507 of the family's 1533-position model. The record is from RNAcentral.